CAAAGUCUCCCCGAGGGUUUGUCCAGGCUGGGGCGGAGGCGCUGGGCCUUCAUAUCCAAGUACCUGCGUGUCAGUGACCGAGGGUUCACCAGGGGACAGAAGCCCGGGCAGCUCUCAGCAUCCACGUGUACACGCAAAAUAACUGCAGGUGCACGCCGUGCGAGGCAAAGCACCCCAAAGGCCACGGAGGCCGGAAAGAAUCACAAGGCUUCAGGGGAGCUCCCAUAGCACGCUGGGGGCCGCCCGUCUUGCUGGACUCACACAAAUCAAUCUCCUUGGGCUCCAACCAUGUGAUAAGUUGUUCAGUGAGGUGCCGAUACCUUGUAGCAUUUUCGUUGCUUCCAGAAAACAAGAGGCCAGUGAUACUUGCCAAUGGCAAAUGCCAGAAACAAUGUGAGCCACAGCCAGAGGCAAGGAUUCCUGGUCACCAAACCGGGAGGUCAGCCUGUUGACACAGCCGAUCCGAGGAAGCUGGCCUCCUUCUGCAACCACACACCGUCUGUGAUUCCUGGCAGCCGGGGAAAGAACGUUACUCUCAGAGGCUGGGACGGUGGCCCGGCGGUUUUCUCUCCCCGUCUGCUCCGAAGCCUUUCCCUGCCCGGCGAUGCGUGGGACCAUCUACCGUGACACUAUUGAUCGAAACUCAGCAUGCUGAUGGAAAAGUGCAAACGCGUGAGUGUGUACAGACGGGUGGAUUUUCCCAACGUGAACUCAUCCAUGUGACCCCCUCCCAGGAGCCCCUCAGGACUUGGGGAGAUCCCCCGGGCGCCCUUUUGCUCCCCGCCCUCCGCGCCCUCCUUCCCAGGGAAGGUGCCAUCCCGACGUCCGACCCCAGAGGCUAGCUCUGCCCGCCACGGACAUUCUAUACGAGUGACAUCACGCGGGGUGUGCUCUUUCGCGGCCGGAUUCGUUCACGCAGCCCCACCUUUGUGAGGCUCGUCUGUAUGACGGUUUGCAACGGCGGUUUGUUCUUUUUCCAUCGUUGUCUACUGUGCCGCAACUUCUGGAUCCUUCCCACCGCUGACGGGCAUCAGAGCUCGCUCCCGUUUGGGCCGUUGGAAACGGUGUGCCUGUGAGUGUUCUAGAACGUGUUUCUGGGUGCGCGUAUGUGUGCAUACUGUUGGGCGCACACCCAGGGGAACGCCUGGCUGUCCGGUGUUUGCAUGUUCAGCUUGAUUAGGUGCAGCCUGUUUGCAAAGUGGACUGAUUUACACGCUCGGAAAAGUGCAGCCGUUCUGGGGCCUGCACCGCCUCGCCACCCAAUCAUAAUGCAGGGAAUGAUACACUUCGAUAUUCUCCACGCUUACGACUGCAGCUGGUUUUUAUAACAUCUUUGUGGGAAUCGGAAAAAGGACCCUCCUGCCUUAAGACCCUUCCGCCGGAUGAAAAUGUGAUGAAAGCCGGUUUUGUCAGAGCGUGGCAUGUGACUGCCCUCUGCUGGAAGACUGUUGAAAUUCAUAGUACAGAGCUUGGAUGCCGGCGAUGGAAAUGGCAGCCUCUUAGGUGUGGUAGCCUUGGGCAGUGCACACCCUGGACAACCACACAUGGUGACCCUGCCACUCUUCACUCUUGUUCACACACACUGGAGGUGUCGGUCAGGACUGGGCAGAGGUGGCCCAAUGAAAGCUCACAGAAAUGAUGGCCCGGGGACUGAACCUGGGCCUCCCAGAGUGACCUGACGCUUUGCACAAGGUCACACGUCCCAUCUGUGCCACAACCGGAAUCGGGAGCCCGGGUCCUGACUCACUGAUUUUUCUCCACCCGACGUGCAGUCUGAGUUUCCAAAUCCGGCAGGCAUCAGAGCACGCUGCUCUUUAGAAAGAUGAGCCAAUUUAUAUUCUUCACCGGCAGGCCACGGGCUGCCCCCUCUCCCGGAGAGGCCUUUUUCAAACUGACAUCUGUCAGCAGCCUUGAUCCGUGCGUGGCUUUUUCCAAGCGGUGGUCCUGCUCGGGGACCUCAGCUCAACUUUGAUUCCAGCUGUGGCACACGGGCAGCCCCUCCCGGCUCCAGUAAGAUGGGUCGUGCCCUGGCUACGAGGGACAGUGUGGGGGCAACCGGGCCCGCGUUGUGCCCUUGCAGGGGUGGGGGAAGGCCCCCAUGAGAUGCGGGCACGCAAGUGUUUGGAAGAAUCAUGCGAUAUUGGGCAAAGGCAGAGCAUUAGGAUUGCGGUGGGUGGGGGAGCGGGCGGGAGGAGGAGGCAGAUGGGCGGGUGCCGUGUCCUCUUCUGGAGUCGGGCCCAGAGCCCAGGGCUCCCCUCCCUUCCCUCUGACAGUGCAGGGCUCGCCAGGUUCUGUGCCGGCAAUCGAGGGAGCACCGGAGCUCUCUGAUGCUGUGGCUCAGCACUGGAGCCUUCCUUUGGAGACAUCUGCCAGCGAGAUUGGAGCAAAGCUUCUUUGAGGCCACGAAGAGGUGAUGGUUUUGCAUUGUGUAGGAGGAGCCAUCCAGGGGAAGGAGAAAUUUCCCUCCGAGAAAUUUAAGAGGCGAUGCCGGAAUCCUGUCAAUUCCACGACUCACGGAGCGGGGUCUUCGCCUUUGUAGGGAGGGGUGUGGGGGAUGGGCAGGGGGCCGUGACGUGCGCGGGGUCCUUCCUUAGCGGGCAGAAGUCAAAACGGGUGGGACGUGUUCAUUCACGUUAUUUCCUCAUUAAAAAAUAAUUAACUGG
This is a long non-coding RNA of Neofelis nebulosa (Clouded leopard), 2663 nucleotides long. RefSeq lists it as uncharacterized. The record is from RefSeq and is a predicted model, not a curated record. The transcript has 2 exons. Lineage: Eukaryota; Metazoa; Chordata; Mammalia; Carnivora; Felidae.